AGCAGCCGCGGUAAUUCCAGCUCCAAUAGCGUAUAUUAAAGUUGUUGCAGUUAAAAGCUCGUAGUUGAAUUUCGGAAUUAGUAGUCUGGUCGUGCCACUGGUAUGUACUGGUCUUACUGAUUUCUCCCUCUUGAAGAACCGUAAUGUCAUUAAUUUGGUGUUGCGGGGAAUCUGGACUGUUACUUUGAAGAAAUUAGAGUGUUUAAAGCAGGCUAACGCUUGAAUACAUUAGCAUGGAAUAAUGAAAUAGGAGUUCGAUCCUAUUUUGUUGGUUUCUAGGAUUGACGUAAUGAUUAAUAGGGAUAGUUGGGGGCAUUAGUAUUCAAUUGUCAGAGGUGAAAUUCUUGGAUUUAUUGAAGACUAACUACUGCGAAAGCAUUUGCCAAGGAUGUUUUCAUUAAUCAAGAACGAAAGUUAGGGAUCGAAGACGAUCAGAUACCGUCGUGUCUU
RNAcentral lists this unclassified non-coding RNA (450 nucleotides) under uncultured Glomus. RNAcentral describes it as "SSU rRNA". It matches the Rfam family "Eukaryotic small subunit ribosomal RNA", at positions 569 to 1027 of the family's 1831-position model. Lineage: Eukaryota; Fungi; Glomeromycota; Glomeromycetes; Glomerales; Glomeraceae. The record is from RNAcentral.